AGUAAAAGUCGUAACAAGGUUUCCGUAGGUGAACCUGCGGAAGGAUCAUUAAUGAAACUUCAAAGUCGGCUUGUCAUCUGUGCUGGUGGAGACACAUGUGCACGUUGCAAGUCGCAAAUCCCACACACCUGUGCACCUAUGACUCUGAGUACCGCUUUGCAUGGGCCCCUCAAAGGCCCUGGUACUCGAGUACUUUUACACACUCUGAAUGUAAUGGAAUGUCUAUUGUACAAUGUACAACCAAAACAACUUUCAACAACGGAUCUCUUGGUUCUCGCAUCGAUGAAGAACGCAGCGAAAUGCGAUAAGUAAUGUGAAUUGCAGAAUUCAGUGAAUCAUCGAAUCUUUGAACGCACCUUGCACCCUUUGGUAUUCCGAAGGGUACACCCGUUUGAGUGUCAUUGUAAUCUCACCCCCUUGACUUUUUUGUUGAUCGGUGUGGACCUGGAUGUUGCCGUGUAACAAACGGCUCGUCUGAAAUGCCUGAGUGUACCCUGCUUUGCAGCGUAUUCGGUGUGAUAAAUCUUUACCGGAGUUGACUUUUUCGAGUCGCGCUUGUACCUGUGGGCUCUAUGCUUCCAAACAGUCCUGACAAGGACAAUCUUUGACAAUUUGACCUCAAAUCGGGUGGGACUACCCGCUGAACUUAAG
RNAcentral lists this ribosomal RNA (651 nucleotides) under uncultured fungus. RNAcentral describes it as "eukaryotic LSU rRNA". The stretch from base 248 to 401 matches the Rfam family "5.8S ribosomal RNA". Lineage: Eukaryota; Fungi. The record is from RNAcentral.